This 253-nucleotide ribosomal RNA is filed under the name uncultured bacterium. Its description in RNAcentral is "partial 16S ribosomal RNA". It matches the Rfam family "Bacterial small subunit ribosomal RNA", at positions 524 to 776 of the family's 1533-position model. The record is from RNAcentral.
UACGGAGGGUGCAAGCGUUAUCCGGAUUCACUGGGUUUAAAGGGUGCGUAGGUGGGUUGGUAAGUCGGUGGUGAAAUCUCCAGGCUCAACUUGGAAACUGCCAUUGAUACUAUUAAUCUUGAAUACCGUGGAGGUCAGCGGAAUAUGUCAUGUAGCGGUGAAAUGCUUAGAUAUGACAUAGAACACCAAUUGCGAAGGCAGCUGGCUACACGAAUAUUGACACUGAUGCACGAAAGCGUGGGGAUCAAACAGG